CGGCAACAGCUCAAAUUUGAAAUCUGGCCCUAGGCCCGAGUUGUAAUUUGCAGAGGAUGCUUUUGGUGAGGUGCCUUCCGAGUUCCCUGGAACGGGACGCCAUAGAGGG
Molecule: ribosomal RNA, 109 nt
Filed under: Memnoniella putrefolia
Lineage: Eukaryota; Fungi; Ascomycota; Sordariomycetes; Hypocreales; Stachybotryaceae
Description: partial large subunit ribosomal RNA
Source: RNAcentral